UUCUAACGCUUAUGGCUCUGUUUGGUAGCUCAGUAUUUUUGAAACGAAAGUAGGCCUAAACCGCAGUAUACUGAUGCCCGCCAGUGAAAUACCACAAAAACCCCAUUUUUCUGUUGUUUUAGCAUAAAUCUGAGGUGUUUGAGAAUAUGUGCACGCACUGCAGUAUUUAGUUGCUCUAUGCUAUGGAGUUUGUUAAUGUCGGAGGAGCCAAAUUGAACUGAACGUGGGUAUGUUGCUUCGGACAAUUGCAUAGGCUAGCAGUAGAUCAAUUAGAUGCUCUUUGUUCGGUUCAGCUAGCUCCAAAAGUAUCCGCUAGCAAGUCUCCCGAAGGAGGAGGCAUCAGGUUGGGUUAGCGAGUGAUUCAAGGAACCGACGGAUCACAUCUCCACAGAUCGCUGAAGAAGAUCGCGCGGUGGCCCUGCAGGACAUGUGAAAGAGGCGGAAGAAGAAAGCCCUUUCUAAGUUCCAGAAAAAAGAGGUCGGGGGUUCUUUUUUAGAUUCAGAAAAAAAACACAGUUUUGACUAUAAUGUAUUAGUAUUUAAAACUGUUGUUCUUAUUUGAGCCAAACACCUCAAAUUAUCUAAAACUAUGGUGUUUCUAAAAGUUAAAUAUCUGCCAAAUACUGAGAAAAUAUUUUGCUACCAAACGCAGGUUAAGCACAAGGCAAUGAUGGAACACGCAUUGCCUUACAGGUUAUACUGGUUUGUGCAAUAAGUUAGAAGUACCAUGUAUGCUCAAAUGCUUUGAUUGAAGGCUUUAUCUCGAGACAAACAUUUAAAAGUGAUUCUUACUGGAAAUAGAUAGAGCAUUUCUUCCGGGUAUUAUUUAUUCCAUGUUUCUAAAAAAAAUCAUUGUUGCCUUUUGUGCAAGUUUAGCUGAAUGAAACAUGAUACUUUGUGUAAGAUGUAUUGUGUAUGCUCAAAUAUUUUACUCUAAGGUUUAUAUUGUGAACCCAAAUAUUGCUGAAUAGAACUAAAUGUGAAUUCUAAAUGGAGACUUAUUUAAUAUUUCUUUAGGGCCAAAAAGAUCGGAUGCUUCAAACUCUUUUAUUAUAGUAUUUUCCAAAUCUGCUACCCUGUACGAAUUAAGCAAUGUUACCACCAGGUUGUAGAAUUAGCUGGUUAUGGAGCAUUUUGGUUGUUGUGACCGAAUUCCCUUGUUCUCCUCCCUUGCCAUCGUGCAAUUAUUCGAAAUAUAGUUGUCAUGCUAGGUAAAGCGGGAUUAUGUAUGCCACUGUCAUACAUUUUUACUAAAUUGUGCACUUCCCAUUUGCUAACUUCUAUCUUAGUAGUUUUUUUUUUUUUUUGAUGUUUUGUCUGUAUAUAUGAUAUAGUGCGUAUUUGUACCUCUUUCUGGUUACCAAAUGGUCAUUUUAAUUUUGAAAUAGCUCCAUUUAAAUACUAUUUGCCAAAAAAUUAUCUGUAGUCAUUAAUAGCUAGCAGGCCAAACAAAAAUGUAAUAACCAGAUUGUAAAUAUCAGUUGUGCUCGCGUAUUGAUGUUUUUUCUGUAUAGUCAUUUCGUAACUAGAAAGAGACACAAAUACGAAAUGGUCAUUUUAAUUUCCAAACAGUUCAAUCUAAAUACUAUUUGCCAAGCAUUAUCUAUAGUCAUUAGUAGCUAGCAGGCCAAACAAAAAAGUAAUAACCAGAUUGUAAACAUCAGUUGUGCUCAGGUAUGUGUUGUCAGUGUAACCUGAUGGCUUCAUGCAUUUUGGUUCUGCUACCUGGAACAGAAAAUAUACUAUUCCACUACAUUUGAUUCUCUGAAGUUAAUGGAGAAGUUAAAUGAGAGUUCGCUAUUGGACAAUGUUUUUCUUUUCCUGCAAAUAGUUGUUGAGUUUGCUACCAAUAGAGCACCAAUUAUUUUUCUGAGAACAACUGUCAUGUGUAGUCUAAUUUCAGGCCCUUCCUAAAUUUAGAUAUGCGCCUCUGUUCCUUAACUCCGCUGGGGCAAUGUGCACUGUGGUGUUCUUAUUCUUAAGUCAUCACUUAUUGUUUUAUAGAUGUAAAUGGACCUUUUGUACUGCAUGCUUUUUACAUGCAUCUCACUGUACUGUUACCCUGCUAGCUUUUAGGUAUUUAACAUUGCCAAUUUUAUGAUUUCCAAGCAGUUUAUCUUCUUAUUUUCCAUUUAUGUUGUUGCCUGCAAGCCUGCAAGAGAGGAAUAGUUAUGCCUUCUCCAAUAUCAAAUGAGUGGUUUUUAUCCUUUUGCUCAUUUUUAUGUUUUUUUAAUUUUUAUAUAAAUAACUACUUUAUAAUGGAAAAGGACUACUUCUCAUAGGUGUCCUUCCAAGUUUAUGGACCUGAUCUUUUACUUAGAUGCUUAUUGACCUGGGUUUUUUUUGCGCACUGAAAUAGUGUCUGGUGUUAAGUUCCGAUGCUUCUAGGCUUUAUGAUUCAUGAUAAUAUUUCCUAAUAUGUUUUUGACUAGCCUCUCCAUACUGUGUCUAUUCUGGAAUUUGUAGGUUAUUUUCAUGCCAAAGCACUCAAUAUUGGCGACCUACGGCUUGCUACCACAUAACACAUCGGAAGCUAAAGAGUUGUGCCUCCCCGAGGCCAUUUAGUUCUUCCUUUGAAGGUAGAAUGUCCGGGUCAAUACAGUGAACAUUGUCCAUAAAUACCCCAGCUGCGCCACGGAUCCCACCUUUCUUCCUCACCAAAAGGCAUCCCUGAUCUAGCAGUACGGUGAUCAAAUACUCCACCGAUUCUUGGCUCAUGGCGCCCAAAGCUGCGGAGAAAAGACGCAUUGCUCAUCAUUAUGCAGCCAGCAGUGUUGCAAGAUCUGCAGUAUUUUUUGCACCUAACAAAGAUAGCACCAGCUAAUAUUGUGACCAGCAACCCUCCUGGAUUUUCUCCCCCGGAUCGACUUGCCGAACAAAAAGGAGAAAAGGCCCGUGGAAAGAUAGGGUUCACAGGACCGCCCACCAGGCAUAGCAAGCAGGAAAUGUAGGCCUCCAGUGGUCCGAUUUCUACUAGAGAUCCAGCAACGUCGCCUCUUCAAGAGAGGAGUCACCCAGCAUCCUAAUGACCUUGUGGAGAUACCAUCAACAUUUGAGCACCACAUCACUGGCAAGUUUCCCCAGAAGAUCGUCCCGAGGAACACGGCCGGGAAUGUAUGUGGCGCGCGUUUAAUAGAAUGGAGGAGUGGGAGGUGACAGUCUGAUCUUCACAUACAUCCAUGGCUCCUUGAUGCAGGUAUCCAUCUUCGGCAACAACUAUGGGAAAAAGAGAUCAGCCACAUUUUAUAAGCAGUAGAAUGUUAGUAUAUUUAGCCAUCAUCUAGAUAUUCUCUUUUGAUCUUGCUUUUGUUCACUGCGCCACACUAUUUUGUUGAUCGCCUGUUUACCAGCACGACAUUUUUAAUAAUUUUAAUUCUAAUAUCAUAGGAUUGCAAUGACACUAUUAAGAUCCUUAAAUAUAUUAGUAAGGAUGUCUUGGCCUACUUGGUUCAUAACA
This is a non-coding RNA of Lolium perenne, 3457 nucleotides long. Lineage: Eukaryota; Viridiplantae; Streptophyta; Magnoliopsida; Poales; Poaceae. The record is from RefSeq and is a predicted model, not a curated record.